UUCCUUCCGGCGGGGAAUAGAACCCUGUCUCCUGCGUGACAGGCGGGGAUACUAACCACUAUACUACCGAGGA
Non-coding RNA from Araneus ventricosus, 73 nucleotides. NCBI's taxonomy places the organism in Eukaryota, Metazoa, Arthropoda, Arachnida, Araneae, Araneidae. The record is from the annotation of a GenBank genome assembly.